CCUACGGGUGGCAGCAGUGGGGAAUAUUGCACAAUGGGCGAAAGCCUGAUGCAGCAACGCCGCGUGAAGGAAGAAGGUUUUCGGCUCGUAAACUUCUAUCAACAGGGACGAAAGAAAUGACGGUACCUGAAUACGAAGCCCCGCCUAACUACGGGCCAGCAGCCCCGGGAAUACGUAGGGGGCAAGCGUUAUCCGGAAUUACUGGGGGUAAAGGGUGAGUAGGCGGCAUGGUAAGCCAGAUGGGAAAGCCUUGGGGUUAACCCGGAGAAUGCAUUUGGAACUAUCAAGCUAGAGUGCAGGAGAGGAAAGCGGAAUUCCUAGUGUAGCGGUGAAAUGCGUAGAUAUUAGGAAGAACACCAGUGGCGAAGGCGGCUUUCUGGACUGAAACUGACGCUGAGGCACGAAAGCGUGGGGAGCGAACAGGAUUAGAUACCCCUGUAGUC
This 443-nucleotide ribosomal RNA is filed under the name uncultured bacterium. RNAcentral's name for it is "partial 16S ribosomal RNA". It matches the Rfam family "Bacterial small subunit ribosomal RNA", at positions 338 to 795 of the family's 1533-position model. The record is from RNAcentral.